GGGCGCUUAUUGUUCUGGGGAGAUGCCUCUUCCAGGAGUGGCUUGGGAGGGUCAGAGCUCCUUCCAUUCAGACCAGUCACCCACUUCUCCAGAAAUCGCGUCCCCUUCUUUGCGCCUCUCGUGCCGACAUUCCCUGCAUCGCUCGUCCCUUUCCUGUAUUGCACUGCCCUGUAAACUGGUGAAUAACUGCGUGGGUUCAAAAGCCAUGCUGCCUCUUUUGAUUCCUGGCUCCCCCACAUGACCUGUGAUAACCUUGGACCAACUGUUUGAGGCCGUUUGAGCCUCAGUUUCCCCAUCUGCAAGAUGGGUGCAAGACUAGCACCUCUUCCCAAUCCCGUGAGGAUUCAGGGAGGUGAUGCCAGCAUGAUGGCGGGAACUUGGCGAACCUUUGCACAGAGGUCCGAUCUCUUGCCAUUGCUGUGUCCUGGGCUGACUGCGGGGACAGCAGAGUUCUUAAAAAAUAAUCGCUUUCACAAACGCCAAUAUUUCAGUUGUGCCUCUCCGGUAUAGACAUCUGCUUAUGAAGAGCUAGCAAUACUGGAGGUUCUAGGUAAGACCUGGCUCACGACAGAGGAGAGUGACAGACCAAGGAGGGACUGACACAGAGAGAAACCAGAGCCACAAUUGGGCAGCUCUGUAGGAGAAGCCAUCCCGGACUGGGGAUGCUGGAGCUGGAAGGAAUGGGGAAGAGAUUUCAUGGAGGAAAUUUACCUGCCUUGGCUGCUAGUGGGUGAUAAGCACCAAGGACUGCCGGGGUUCUGAGGAUGUGAAGGUGUAGGGAAGGAAUGACGGAGCCACGACCUCAUCCCGGGGGGAGUCCAUUCGGGGAGAUGCACGUCUCCCUGGAAAAGCUUAGGGCACAGGUGUCCCGAGGAGCUCCAAGUGGGUGGGCUGGGAGGGGAACCCUCUGCGGUCAAAGGUGUGGGAGCCUAGGUGCCUAGACUAGGCUGGGAGGACUGAAUGAAGAGAGCCUCUCAGAGGCAUUCAGAAAACUCUUGCUCUGCGAGCUCAGGUUUCUGUAAGAGUGCAACCCUAAGAACACCUUGCCAGGCACGAGUAACACCUGGGGAGUUAUUAAAACAUUGAUUCCUGGGCUCUGGCCCCGGGAGGUUCUGACUUAGAAGAGGCCCAUGAAUUUGCAUUUCUGACAGACUUCUGGGUGAUGCUGAGCAGCCAGUCCUGAGGACCACACCGUGAGUGGUGCUGCCCUGGACCACACCCAGGCCCUGUCAGCCCCCUGGAUGCUCCUGCUGCGCCCACACCUGCUGCCAGAGGGAUGCCGUGUGGGGCCCGGGCCUCACCUGGACCAGCCGCCGCAGCCUCUCCUGCUGGUCCCACUAGUUAUCUUUGCCAGUCACCAGUGGGGAUUUUUUUGCUGGUGAUGUUCAGACCUUUCACCUCUUCGGGACCCCUCACCCCAAGCCCGUCCAUUGUGGGUGAGACCUGCGGCCAGAGGUCGCGUGAACACACAUGUGGCCUCCUGACAGUUUAUGGCACGGGUGCUGUCUGGGUCUAGCUCCACGUGCCAAGCGCAGGAGAUGAGACAGACCGUGUGCCUUGCUCUCUGCUCUUUCCAAGCUGGUCUAAAAAGGCUCGCAAGCUAUUCCAUAAAGCAUUGCAUCAGGGAACCUUGAGUCAUGCUGCUCUUGGUCAUCCCUUUCAGGUAUUUGCUGUCCUGAUUAAAAUGUGCAGAGGCCUCAUGAGGGAGCUGUCUCCAGACUCUGAGUCAGGGAAUCCAGUUAAUCGAGUUUGUUAGCCUUGAUUGUAAAGUAGGAGUUAAAGGGCCCAGAAUAAGAGCCUGGCAAGAUUGCUUAUGACACAGUGCAUAGAUUUUAGUGCUUGUGUGUGGGGGAUACCCAUUUUGUUUUUAAUAGUGCUAAAAUGUAUGUAGUGUAAUAUUUAUCAUUUUAACCAUUUUAAGUAUAUAAAUCAGUGAUAUCAACUGCAUUUGCAAUUUUGUGUAACCACUAACCAUACCUAAAGCUGUUUUUCUCAUCCUCAAUAUACAUUCUGUACCCAUUAAACAAUAAGCGCUCUCCCCUCCACUCCUUGCAGCCCUGGGUACCUCUGUUCUACUUUCUGCUUCGUGAAUUAGACUCCUGUAUCUCAUGUCAGUGGAAUCAGGCAUAUCUGUCCUCCUGUGUUUUAUGUCACUAAACAGGUUUUCAGGUUCUACCCAUAUGGUAGCAUAUAUCAAAAUCGCUUUCCUUUUCAGGGCUGAAUAGCAUUCCCCUGUGUACAUAUGCCACAUUUUUUUAAUCCGUUCACCGUUGGUGGAUGCUUGGCUCACUUCCCCCUUUGGCUAUUAACUGAAUAAUGCUGCUCUUGACACUAGUGAAUGAAUACCUCUUAGAAUCUCUGACUUCCGUUCUUCUUUUUACAUAUCUGGGCGUCAGGUGCUGGGUCAUGUGGUGCUUGUAGCUCUAACCCUUUGAGAAACUGCCACACUGGAUUCCACAGCGGCUGCACCAUUUUACAUUCCCAGCAGCAGCAUAUUGUCCACAUCCUCCCUAACAUUUGCUGCUGCUGCUGCUGUUGUUGUUGUUGAUAAUAGCCUAUUAGUAGAUGUGAGGUCGCAGACGUGGCUCGGAUCCCGCGUUGCUGUGGCUGUGGUGUAGGCUGGUGGCUAUAACUCCGAUUUGACCCCUAGCCUGGGAACCUCCAUAUGCCAUGAGUGUGGCCCCCAAAAGGCCAAAAAAAAAAACCCCAAACAUUUUGUCUUGGAGGAUCCAACAGUCCUGAUUUAUGUCACUCACUGGAUGUGUCAGCUCUUAGCACAAACCCUGUGGAUUCCUCCUAAAAUGAAAAUAGGCAGCUACACCCAAGUAAGGUGGCCCCCCCCAACCCCCACCCUUCAAACCACCCCCUGGCUCUCGUAUGUUACGUUUAGUGGCUUUGCAGUGCAUGUCUCUCAGCCAGAGACGCUAGUGGCAAAUGGUUCUCUCUCCAGCGCUGAGUUUAUUGGACAGGCGGUGCAUGCAGAAUUCUGUUUUAUAUGGCGAUUUGGCAUUUGUGCAGAAAAGUACUGCAAGAUUCUGAAGCGUGUUCUUGGGGGUAAAAUCAUAAGGCAUCUGCUGGAAACGGCCGUGACAGAGACGUUUCAACAGAAUCGAACAAAUAAAAGUCAGAACUCAAAAUUGAAUACUGCUGCAUUUUUGUCUAAAUCACCGUGAGCAGAUUGAGAUGUGUGCGUGUGUGUCUUGAGGGACAAAGGCACACGUCCUUCUUUGUGUGUUAAUUGUAGGGGACCGACAGAUGGGAGUGACCGCAUCACCACGUGAUGGCAACUCCUCUUUCUUCCAAGAGAUUUCUCUCCCCUUGGUUUCCCAGCCAGGUCUGACCCUGGACGGGGGCGGCUGGUGGCAGAUAGUCUAACAGCGUGUGCCCUGCCGGAACAGUCUGCUGGCACCACUUUUUAAUAAGGGCUGGGCUCUUGCCUAAGAGCCCAGCAACUUCGGUGCCUCCUCUGCUGCGCCUUCCCCGAACACACCUCGCCCUCGCUAAUAAAUUCCGAGGGCUGACAUUGCCGGAGCCGGCUGGUCUUUGCCCUCAAUUUCAUUGAGAUGGGCCAUUGAAAACUCAUUACAAGCUGUUUAGACUCUGACUUUGACUUUUGCUCGGCAGCGAGCGAAAUUAACAGCUCUUGGAGGUAGCAAAAAAGGCACUCAGCC
RNAcentral lists this long non-coding RNA (3671 nucleotides) under Sus scrofa (pig). RNAcentral's name for it is "lncRNA (ENSSSCG00055021458.1)". The record is from RNAcentral. Lineage: Eukaryota; Metazoa; Chordata; Mammalia; Artiodactyla; Suidae.